RNAcentral lists this transfer RNA (72 nucleotides) under Pipistrellus nathusii (Nathusius's pipistrelle). RNAcentral's name for it is "tRNA-Leu". Lineage: Eukaryota; Metazoa; Chordata; Mammalia; Chiroptera; Vespertilionidae. The record is from RNAcentral.
AACUUUUAAAGGAUAGGAGCUAUCCGUUGGUCUUAGGAACCAAAAAUUUGGUGCAACUCCAAGUAAAAGUUA